Molecule: non-coding RNA, 24 nt
Filed under: Arabidopsis thaliana (thale cress)
Lineage: Eukaryota; Viridiplantae; Streptophyta; Magnoliopsida; Brassicales; Brassicaceae
Source: RNAcentral
UUAUAUGUCCGAUUCGACCAAUAA